GACGAACGCUGGCGGCGUGCUUAACACAUGCAAGUCGAACGGAAAGGCCCUGCUUUUGUGGGGUGCUCGAGUGGCGAACGGGUGAGUAACACGUGAGUAACCUGCCCUUGACUUUGGGAUAACUUCAGGAAACUGGGGCUAAUACCGGAUAGGAGCUCCUGCUGCAUGGUGGGGGUUGGAAAGUUUCGGCGGUUGGGGAUGGACUCGCGGCUUAUCAGCUUGUUGGUGAGGUAGUGGCUUACCAAGGCUUUGACGGGUAGCCGGCCUGGGAGGGUGACCGGCCACAUUGGGACUGAGAUACGGCCCAGACUCCUACGGGAGGCAGCAGUGGGGAACAUUGCACAAUGGGCGGAAGCCUGAUGCAGCAACGCCGCGUGCGGGAUGACGGCCUUCGGGUUGUAAACCGCUUUCGCCUGUGACGAAGAGUGAGUGACGGUAACUGGUAAAGAAGCACCGGCUAACUACGUG
This 468-nucleotide ribosomal RNA is filed under the name uncultured bacterium. RNAcentral's name for it is "partial 16S ribosomal RNA". It matches the Rfam family "Bacterial small subunit ribosomal RNA", at positions 28 to 507 of the family's 1533-position model. The record is from RNAcentral.